RNAcentral lists this unclassified non-coding RNA (353 nucleotides) under soil metagenome. Its description in RNAcentral is "partial contains 5.8S ribosomal RNA, internal transcribed spacer 2, and large subunit ribosomal RNA". The stretch from base 4 to 121 matches the Rfam family "5.8S ribosomal RNA", at positions 37 to 154 of the family's 154-position model. The record is from RNAcentral.
GAUUGAAGAACGUAGCGAAAUGCGAUAAGUAAUGUGAAUUGCAGAAUUCAGUGAAUCAUCGAAUCUUUGAACGCACAUUGCGCCCGCCAGUAUUCUGGCGGGCAUGCCUGUUCGAGCGUCAUUACAACCCUCAGGCCCCCGGGCCUGGCGUUGGGGAUCGGCGGAGCCCCCCGUGGGCACACGCCGUCCCCCAAAUGCAGUGGCGGUCCCGCCGCAGCUUCCAUCGCGUAGUAGCUAACACCUCGCGACUGGAGAGCGGCGCGGCCACGCCGUAAAACACCCAACUCUUCUGAAGUUGACCUCGAAUCAGGUAGGAAUACCCGCUGAACUUAAGCAUAUCAAUAAGCGGAGGA